CACAACAACAUCAGCUGUUACCAUGGUUUCUGACUGCCGUCUCAGAGCUCUGAUUUUAAGACUACAUUUCCCAGAAUUCCCAGUUCCCAUUAGUACAAAUAUUUUCCACAGAAGCUGGGCUUUAAAUAUGGAUUUAGCAAAAACUGACUGUAAAGGAAUGGAUGGAUAGAUCGACAGUCAAAUUAAUGGAUGAAUGAAUUGAUGGAUAUCAGAUGAAUACGGCUUGGGAAUAAAAUCUCUGAUCUUUUCAUUCAAGAUCCAAUUUUAAUAAUUCUUUUCUCACUUUUUCUAAAAAGAAAAUAAUAACAACAAUAAUGACAAAUGACAGAAAAUAUUUUCAAAAAGCAGGUUUUACUCCAAUCAUCCUUUUUCUGAGUUAUUCACCAAACAUUAUGGCCAGGCUACGAGAAUUUUUGUUUAAUUAGAGGAAUAUAGUCAUAAUACUUAAAUAAAGAGAGAAUCUUGCCAGAAAAAAGUCUUAAAAUUACAAGAAAAAAGUAGUUUUAAAGAGAAAAAAGCUUGAAUUUUUAUUUUUGUGUUAAAGUUCGUAUGAAAUUACUAUUAUUCUCCUAAUAUUACAACUAUAUUCUGGGACUACUAAGACUUUUGUUCUUGAAUUAUUUCAACUUUAUGGUCAUUUGUCUCGUAUUACUAUGUCUGUAUUCUUGUAAUGUUAUGACUAUUUUUGACCAUUACAAUUAGUCGUAGUGUUGACCUGAAUUCAAAGUUCAAAUAAAUAAAAGUUGUAAAACAAGAUGGCCGCCUUGGGCGACAUCACUCUGAACCAGGGGUCUCAGACUCGCGGCCCGCGGGCCAACUGCGGCCCUCGGGACGAUAGUUUGUGGCCCCCACCUUAAUAUGAAAGUUUAAUGUUAGUGUGGCCCGCGAGCAGUGAUGUCACACAGCAAAAAGUAGAGAGUUAAAAUUUCAGGGUUAGACGUGUCAGAGUUAAUUUUAACUCAUUAAGUGUUUUUUUAACAUUUAGCGAUUUAAAUGAUGCCCAGUGUUGGAGUUAUUUCGCAGAGUUGAUUGCGUUGGUGUUGAAUCAACUCUGCUGGGAGGAAAAUAAGCUCCUCCCCUCCGCUUCACAGUUUUCGUUUGAUUUCAAUCUGAACUCGGCUCCAUUUUGUUCAUCUCCUGUUCUACACGGUAAGUGUCCAACUUACUAAAUCUUUUGUCCAGCACUAUUACAUUGACAGAGUGAGUGAUUUGACUUUUUCAACUAAUUACAACAUAAUUGAAAGGCAGCUGAAUAUGUCCAUUUUGCAACAAUUUUACACAACGUGUUAGCUAGUAGCCCACCUGGUAGCUAGUAGCACUUACACCUGAUAUUAUUAUCAUGGUAAUUCUUACAAAACAUAUUUUGUCCGACCAUAUGCUCGCGAAAAAUAUACUUCUAUUUUGUUUUGCAGUUUAAAAUGGUAAUUUUGGCCUUGUGAAUGUAAGAGGUAACGACUAUUAGCUUCCGUGGAACAUCAACGAGCCGAAGUCACGCCCCACAAAUAGCCAGGAACUUUACAGCGAGGUGAACGUUUGACCUAUACUUUAUUUUGCUUUGUCUAGGUUUAUCCCAUGCUUAAAUAAAAUGCUGAUCCAUGUAAAGUAUGGUGACCUGCAAAAGUACGUGAAGUUGGAGGAGGUCGAAGGGCUGUUUGACUCUAAUCAGUUUCAUGAGAAAGGUUUGUUAUUUAUUAAACAUCUCUGUGGGGCAUGGGCAUUAUUCUUUUCAAUAUAUGUCUAUUUAACACAUAUUGUACACAUUUGUGGUAAGUAAAAAGAGUAAUCCAUUGUAUUUUCAUUAAUAUGUUUCAUACUAAUCACAUGAUCAAUAUCAAGUAACUGUUAGUUUAAAAAAAUCCAGCUAAUUACAGAAUUAGGCUCUAAAUCUUGCCUUGUUUUUUCAGUCAUUGAACGAUUUUGCCUGCCACCUGAUGGCAAAGUGACAUACAAAGAUGCAACAGAUACUGAAGUUGACGAAGAAAUAUUCGGUGACCUCCUUAGACAAGGCAAUGUGGUACUGACAGUUUUCUGCUAUGAUGGUGAGAUAUCAAAGCAAAUUAAGUCAACUGUUAUACAGAUUUUACCAAAGAAUGUCACUGAUGUCUAUUGUCUCUCUUCAGAGUACUCAGAAUGGUCAUCUGCUUCUGACUCUGACUUGAGCUUCAACUCAAAUGCAUCAACAUCAACCAUACUAUUGGAUGAGAUACCACGCAAGAAGCAAAAAACUGAGAAUGCUAAUAACUCAGUGUCUGCUAAGAAUGUAACAAUAUUUUUUGACUGUCUCUAAAUUCUGUUUUGUAUGCCCAGACAUGUUUUGUCAUAUUUUGGUAAUCUGCAUAUUUCCUGUUGUUUUUUUUCUUCAUUUUAUAGCUGGCUGAAGGUGUCCUACAAAGCAAGUCUGGUGGUGAAGAAAUUCUGCAGGAGUAUGAAACUACAGAAACCUUAACUGAUGCCACAAGAAGACAAAUGGUGAACAUACUGGUGGCUGACAUGAUUGAUAAACAUGGCAAUCAGAGAGAAGUAUGCCUUUGGAAUAGUGACGCUCUUCCCAUCCCUCAAGGAUCCAUACACCAAAAAAGGCUAUGUAAUGUUUUUUUGUUGUUGUUUUUUUCUACAAUCAAACAUGCUCUUUAUUUUGUGACUCCAAACUGUGAUUUUGCAAUUAAUUUUUGUUCUUUUUUUUUUUUAGGAGCACUUUUAUGAUGCAGCAAGCAGCACUGGAUACAUUUCAUGGCGUCUUAAAACGGUCCUAAGGAAGAUUCAAAGAGGAUCUCUUGUGCCACUAAGUAGCACCAAUUACACUUCAUCUGGAGCCCCAAAUAUACAGAGAACUGUGAUUGCUGAAAAACAACUUGAUGGGAAUGCCUGCCAGGAGGCCAUAUCUCUGCUUAACCACACAAAAGACAGGUCUGUGAUCUUUCAGAAGAUGAGAGAGACUUUUGAGCACCAUCACAAGCUUAUUAAAGAUCCCAGUGGAAAAAAAUGAUAUUCUGACAACGUUCCAGAGGUUCCUGGACACAAAAGGAUUGGUAAGUGUUCAAGUGAGUUGUAAAAGUCUUUAAAUGUGGAUUUUUACCUUCUUAUAAUGGUUUGAUUUCUACAUGUUAUUAAAGAUUGAUCAAGACUUCAGUCUUCUGUUCAGUGAAGAAACCUCAUCCAGACUGCUGCAGAAGUGGGAUGUGAUCUUCAAACCAAAUGUCAUCAAGGAGGCUAAGCGUUUAACUUCUACACCUGAGUUGAGAAGUUUGGUGCAGUCAGCGGAAAGUCUUCAAAGCGAUGACCUCUCUAACACAUCUAGUAAGUACCUAGAUAUAUCUGAAAAUAGUUGACUGUUCAGAGUACUCAUAAAGUUCUGAUAUCAUAUCUGAAAACAUUUAUAAAUUUGUCUUCAGGCUAUGACCAAGAAAUGGCGUCGCUGUUACUUCUCUUACAUCUCCUUCAACCGCAACCAGGAGGACAGAAGUCUCCAAAAAUCAGUGCAAGUGAUGCAGUUGAGAGACUUGUUGUCUUUCAUAAGUCAUGCUGCAGUUUAGAGGAGCAUCUCCAGGGUCAACGGGGUCUGCAGCCAUUCCUCCUUGAUGUUGGGCAUCAGAACAUUUCACUUAAAGAUGAAGAUGUGGUCAACAAAGAAAUGCUUCAAAUGAUUUCAUCAGGAGAUGUUUUUUCAACCAACUGGGUUAGAGUUGAGGAUGCUGAAUGCAGACAAGGACUUGCUGUUUGCAGCACAAUUCAAGAUGAGAUGCCAGUGUUUUGUCAGAUAAGUGAUGUACUUUUAGUUAACAAUACAUUUCUUUUGUUAUCUAAACAGCUAUUCACAGAAACAUUUGAUGAUCAUCAUCAUGCUUUCAGGAUUGUUCAAAGUGAAGAAAGGCAUUUAGUAAAAAUCCCUGAACUUAAAUUUCAUAAGACUUUUGAUAUUCAAAACUCUUAUGGCGUUUCUAAUGAAUGUUUGUUCAUUGUACCACAAUUUAAAAUGUUGGAAACACAGCUGCAAAAAUAAAGUGUUCAAAAUUGAUUUACUUGUGUCAAUUUUUUUUUCUUAAUAAUUAUUAUAAUUAAUCAUAAAGUAACUUUUUUUGGAAUAAUAACACUUGAAAGUGUUAAAUCAACACUAACAAAGUGGUACAUUUUUGUUCUUGGAUCAGUGUUAUCCAUUAUAUCCCACAGUGUUAAAUGAACCCUGUUUUGUGAGUUAAAUAAGUAACUCUGAUAAAGUGUUAAAAUUUUAACUAUUUUGAAAGUGUUAAUUUAACUCAAAAAGAGAGUGGACUAUAUAAACACUGAAAAAGUGUUAAAAUCAAAUCUGUGGGAGUUAAAUUAACACUGGACUUUUUGCUGUGCAGUAACGCGUUAAUUUGUAACGUGUUACUGACGUCGGACCACUUUUUUCAGUAACGAGUAAUCUAACGCGUUGCUAUUUCAGAUCCAGUAGUCAGACUACAGUUACUUAUCAAAAUCA
RNA transcript from Gambusia affinis (western mosquitofish), 4459 nucleotides. RefSeq lists it as uncharacterized. The record is from RefSeq and is a predicted model, not a curated record. The transcript has 3 exons. NCBI's taxonomy places the organism in Eukaryota, Metazoa, Chordata, Actinopteri, Cyprinodontiformes, Poeciliidae.